AUUGAACGCUGGCGGCAUGCCUAACACAUGCAAGUCGAACGGCAGCACAGUGUGUAGCAAUACACAUGGGUGGCGAGUGGCGGACGGGUGUGUAAUACGUAGGAAUCUUCCCUAAAGUGGGGGAUAACCCGGGGAAACUCGGGCUAAUACCGCAUAAUCUCUAUGGAGCAAAGGAGGGGAUCGAAAGACCUUUCGCUUUAGGAUGAGCCUACGUCGGAUUAGCUAGUUGGUGGGGUAAAGGCCCACCAAGGUGAUGAUCCGUAGCUGGUCUGAGAGGACGGCCAGCCACACUGGGACUGAGACACGGCCCAGACUCCUACGGGAGGCAGCAGUGGGGAAUUUUGGACAAUGGGGGCAACCCUGAUCCAGCGAUGCCGCGUGUGUGAAGAAGGCCUUCGGGUUGUAAAGCACUUUUAGUGGGGAAGAAAGGCCCGAGACUAAUAUCCUCGAGCGUUGACAUUAUCCACAGAAAAAGCACCGGCUAACUCUGUGCCAGCCGCCGCAGUAA
RNAcentral lists this ribosomal RNA (508 nucleotides) under uncultured bacterium. Its description in RNAcentral is "partial 16S ribosomal RNA". It matches the Rfam family "Bacterial small subunit ribosomal RNA", at positions 30 to 523 of the family's 1533-position model. The record is from RNAcentral.